Molecule: ribosomal RNA, 396 nt
Filed under: Triticum aestivum (bread wheat)
Lineage: Eukaryota; Viridiplantae; Streptophyta; Magnoliopsida; Poales; Poaceae
Description: partial small subunit ribosomal RNA
Source: RNAcentral
UCCGCGCCUCGCGCCAGGACCCCGCCCACGAAGCCGGCGCCCAAGGCCCCGGCUCCGGUACCGGCAUCCGCCGGCGGCCACAGUAACGUCAUUUCGGCCCUGGCAUACAACAUCGUCGACGGUAUCACCCGGGGCGCCGGCAACGCCAUGGGCCACAGGUUCGUCGAGUUCUUUGCCGGGCCACGCACCAUCCAGGUCGUCUCCUCCGAGCCCCAGGCCGCCACCGCCGCCGAUUCGUCCCUCGACUCGUGCGGCGCCCACAACAAGGCCUUCGCCAAUUGCCUCAACCACUCCCAAAGCGACAUCAGCCGGUGCCAGUUCUACCUUGACUUGCUCAACCAGUGCCACCGCGGGUCCAGUAACGCCGGCCUCGCCGCCGCCACCACCAUCUCUUAG